This is a long non-coding RNA of Lutra lutra (Eurasian river otter), 158 nucleotides long. RefSeq lists it as uncharacterized. The record is from RefSeq and is a predicted model, not a curated record. The transcript is spliced from 3 exons. Lineage: Eukaryota; Metazoa; Chordata; Mammalia; Carnivora; Mustelidae.
AGGGAAGGAAAAAAGGAGAGGUGGGGGAUAUGGUGGAGUAUUCAAGAGCUGAAUAAGAACACAAUGACUCCUAAUGCCAUCAACCCCACAAUGAAGAACCAUGGAUCUCAUCAAUUUUAUAAUUCGUAUUGGAUCAAGAAAUUUGGUCCCCCUCUAUG